CAUGCAAGUCGAACGAAGAUGCCGGAGUGCUUGCACUUUGGCAGACUGAGUGGCGGACGGGUGAGUAACGCGUGGGUAACCUGCCUUAUACAGGGGGAUAACAGUUGGAAACGACUGCUAAUACCGCAUAAGCGCACGGUAUCGCAUGAUACAGUGUGAAAAACUCCGGUGGUAUAAGAUGGACCCGCGUCUGAUUAGCUUGUUGGUGAGGUAACGGCCCACCAAGGCGACGAUCAGUAGCCGGCCUGAGAGGGUGAACGGCCACAUUGGGACUGAGACACGGCCCAAACUCCUACGGGAGGCAGCAGUGGGGAAUAUUGCACAAUGGGGGAAACCCUGAUGCAGCGACGCCGCGUGAGUGAUGAAGUAUUUCGGUAUGUAAAACUCUAUCAGCAGGGAAGAUAAUGACGGUACCUGACUAAGAAGCACCGGCUAAAUACGUGCCAGCAGCCGCGGUAAUACGUAUGGUGCAAGCGUUAUCCGGAUUUACUGGGUGUAAAGGGUGCGUAGGUGGUAUGGCAAGUCAGAAGUGAAAGGCUGGGGCUCAACCCCGGGACUGCUUUUGAAACUGUCAAACUAGAGUACAGGAGAGGAAAGCGGAAUUCCUAGUGUAGCGGUGAAAUGCGUAGAUAUUAGGAGGAACACCAGUGGCGAAGGCGGCUUUCUGGACUGAAACUGACACUGA
Molecule: ribosomal RNA, 685 nt
Filed under: uncultured bacterium
Lineage: Bacteria
Description: bacterial SSU rRNA
Rfam family: Bacterial small subunit ribosomal RNA
Source: RNAcentral